RNAcentral lists this ribosomal RNA (222 nucleotides) under uncultured bacterium. RNAcentral's name for it is "partial 16S ribosomal RNA". It matches the Rfam family "Bacterial small subunit ribosomal RNA", at positions 114 to 334 of the family's 1533-position model. The record is from RNAcentral.
CGCGUGAGUAACCUGCCCUGGAGUGGGGGACAACAGUUGGAAACGACUGCUAAUACCGCAUAAGCCCACGAUCCGGCAUCGGAUUGAGGGAAAAGGAUUUAUUCGCUUCAGGAUGGACUCGCGUCCAAUUAGCUAGUUGGUGAGGUAACGGCCCACCAAGGCGACGAUUGGUAGCCGGACUGAGAGGUUGAACGGCCACAUUGGGACUGAGACACGGCCCAG